ACGGGAGGCAGCAGUGGGGAAUAUUGGACAAUGGGCGAAAGCCUGAUCCAGCGACGCCGCGUGGGUGAAGAAGGCCUGCGGGUUGUAAAGCCCUUUCGGUUGGGAAGAAAAGUAUUGACCUAACACGUCAGUACCUUGACGUAACCAACAAAAGAAGCACCGGCUAACUCUGUGCCAGCAGCCGCGGUAAUACAGAGGGUGCAAGCGUUAAUCGGAAUUACUGGGCGUAAAGCGCAGGUAGGCGGCUUGAUAAGUCGAGUGUGAAAUCCCCGGGCUUAACCUGGGACCUGCAUUUGAAACUGUCUUGCUAGAGUAUGGGAGAGGGAAGUGGAAUUUCAGGUGUAGCGGUGAAAUGGGUAGAUAUCUGAAGGAACAUCAGUGGCGAAAGCGACUUCCUGGACCAAUACUGACGCUCAGGUGCGAAAGCGUGGGGAGCAAACAGGAUUAGAUACCCUGGUAGUCCACGCCAUAAACGAUGAGAACUAGAUGUUGGGAGGAUUAGCCUCUCGGUGUCGUAGCUAACGCGUUAAGUUCUCCGCCUGGGGAGUACGGUCGCGAGGUUGAAACUCAAAUGAAUUG
This 579-nucleotide ribosomal RNA is filed under the name uncultured bacterium. Its description in RNAcentral is "bacterial SSU rRNA". It matches the Rfam family "Bacterial small subunit ribosomal RNA", at positions 341 to 912 of the family's 1533-position model. The record is from RNAcentral.